This 405-nucleotide ribosomal RNA is filed under the name uncultured bacterium. RNAcentral's name for it is "bacterial SSU rRNA". It matches the Rfam family "Bacterial small subunit ribosomal RNA", at positions 354 to 775 of the family's 1533-position model. The record is from RNAcentral.
AUUAGGAAUCUUGCGCAAUGGGCGAAAGCCUGACGCAGCGACGUCGCGUGAAGGAUGAAAUCUUUCGGGAUGUAAACUUCUUUUACCAGGGAAGAAUAAUGACGGUACCUGGUGAAUAAGCCCCGGCUAACUACGUGCCAGCAGCCGCGGUAAUACGUAGGGGGCGAGCGUUGUCCGAAGUUACUGGGCGUAAAGAGCGCGUAGGCGGGUUUUUAAGUGAGGGGUGAAAGUCCGAGGCUCAACCUCGGAACUGCCUUUCAUACUGGGAACCUUGAGUGCGGGAGAGGCGAGUGGAAUGGUCGGUGUAGCGGUGAAAUGCGUAGAUAUCGAUCGGAACACCCAUGGCGAAGGCAGCUCGCUGGCCUGUAACUGACGCUGAGGCGCGAAAGCGUGGGGAGCAAACAG